GAUUCAUGACUGGGGUGAAGUCGUAACAAGGUAGCCCUAGGGGAACCUGGGGCUGGAUCACCUCCUUAUACGA
RNAcentral lists this ribosomal RNA (73 nucleotides) under Pseudoalteromonas ruthenica. RNAcentral's name for it is "partial 16S ribosomal RNA". It matches the Rfam family "Bacterial small subunit ribosomal RNA", at positions 1466 to 1533 of the family's 1533-position model. The record is from RNAcentral. Lineage: Bacteria; Pseudomonadati; Pseudomonadota; Gammaproteobacteria; Alteromonadales; Pseudoalteromonadaceae. RNAcentral also lists the same sequence under 1 other name.